This 3547-nucleotide ribosomal RNA is filed under the name Proyseria petterae. RNAcentral describes it as "partial large subunit ribosomal RNA". It matches the Rfam family "Eukaryotic large subunit ribosomal RNA", at positions 69 to 2948 of the family's 3401-position model. Lineage: Eukaryota; Metazoa; Nematoda; Chromadorea; Rhabditida; Acuariidae. The record is from RNAcentral.
CGAGGAUUCUCCCAGUAACGGCGAGUGAACGGAGAGAAGCCCAGCGCUGAAUCAUUUGAUCACAGUGGUCAAAUUGAAAUGUAGCGUAUAGGUGUAACUAUCCUAUUGUUUUGUGCACUCAAAGUCCCCUUGAGCGGGGCCACAGUCCACAGAAGGUGCUAGACCUGUACGGGUGACGAAACACUGGGUUGGUUGCUCCUUGGAGUCGGGUUGCCUGAGAUCGCAGCUCAAAGUGGGUGGUAAACCUCAUCUAAGGCUAAAUAUGGCCACGAGACCGAUAGCAAACAAGUACCGUGAGGGAAAGUUGAAAAGAACUCUGAGAAGAGAGUUAAAGGAGGACGUGAAACCGCUGGGAUGGAAACGAAUAGAGUUGACGAAACCUACCGUCAUUCAACCGAUCAACUUAGCGGUCUUUUAUCAAUUGUACCACACGUCUUUGUGCGUAUUGAUGGACAGUGAUAAGAGGUGCUGUUGAGUAGUUUCAAAAAAAAAUACCUGUGUGAUCGGUGCAUUUGAUGGUGGUACGCGCCGAGAGCCGCGUUGUUGUACAAUAAAGCAUUUGGCAGUGGACCGGAUAAUUUUUAUCCGGAAACCUACCGGUGUGAAGGUGUAUCGAUGAUGCGGUUGCAAUUGCAAUUUUCGCCGUAUGGUGCGUUUCAUAUGUUUUCAAUUUAUUCUGGCAUAAAUGAUCGCAUGCGUAUCGUUUAUGUUUUUGAGUGGUAAAUUGAAUGAUAUGAUUUUUUAUUGACGCGUUGAAAUUGUAUCUCGGUGUGAGCGUCGAUCACCUAUUCGACCCGUCUUGAAACACGGACCAAGGAGUCUAGCAUAUGCGCAAGUUAUUGGGUGGUAAACCUAAUUAAAACGCAAUGAAAGUAAAAAUCGUCUUGAUACGAUUGGAUAUGUGAGCCAUAUGUUUGUGUAUAUGUAUGAGUGUUUGUGUGCAUGUGCGUAUGUGUGUGUGUGUAGUGUAUGUGUAUAUAUAUAUGUGUGUGUGUAUUUUCUCUUUUGAAAGUAUAGCGCGCAUAUAUAUUGCGCGUACAUUACUCCCAUAUACGCAUACACAUACAUUUUGUAUAUAUGUAAAAAUGUACAUAUGGUGCAACAUAGCCCCGUCCUCAUUGCUUGCAAUAGGGCGGAGGUAGAGCGUAUACGCUGGGACCCGAAAGAUGGUGAACUAUGCCUGAGCAGGAUGAAGCCAGAGGAAACUCUGGUGGAGGUCCGAAGCGAUUCUGACGUGCAAAUCGAUCGUCUGACUUUGGUAUAGGGGCGAAAGACUAAUCGAACUAUCUAGUAGCUGGUUCCCUCUGAAGUUUCCCCCAGGAUAGCUGGAGCACAUUAAAGAGCAGUUAUAUUCGGUAAAGCGAAUGAUUAGACGAAUUGGGGACGAAACGUCCUCAACCUAUUCUCAAACUUUCAAUGGGUAUGAAGUUUCGCUUUCUUAAUUGAAGCGUAAACAUUGAAUGCGUGCUCCAAGUGGGCCAUUUUUGGUAAGCAGAACUGGCGCUGUGGGAUGAACCAAACGUCGAGAUAAAGUGCCAAACUUUCCGCUCAUGAGACCCCAUGAAAGGCGUUGGUUGAUAUAGACAGCAGGACGGUGGCCAUGGAAGUCGGAAGCCGCUAAGGAGUGUGUAACAACUCACCUGCCGAAUCAACUAGCCCUGAAAAUGGAUGGCGCUUGAGCGGGAGACUUAUACUCGACCGUUGCUAGGCUUGUGUACACAGUAGUAGUGAACGCAACAGUUACCUGGCCGCAACGAGUAAGAGGGUCGCAGUGGUUAGCGCUGAAGACUUUGGGCGUAGGCCCAGUCGGAGCUUCCACUGGUGCAGAUCUUGGUGGUAGUAGCAAAUAUUCAAGUGAGAUCCUUGAAGACUGAAGUGGAGAAGGGUUCCUCGUGAACAGCAGUUGGAUGCGGGUCAGUCGAUCCUAAGAUAUUGGCUAAUGCCAUUUGUUGAAUGAGAGACGGAGAUCAAAUCCAUCUCGGCAAUCGAAAGGGAAACGGGUUUAUAUUCCCGUACCUGGACACGGAGAUUAAAUAUCCAUUGCGGGUAUUUAGCGCGGUAACGCAAACGAACUCGGAGACGUUGAGCAGAGCCCGAGCCAGAGUUCUCUUUUCUGGUUAAGGAACGGACUCCCUGGAAGCGGUUCAGCCGGCGAUAGGGACGUUGUUUCCGUAAAGCGCCACGGUUCCUGUGGCGUCUCGUGCACUCUGCUCGACCCAUGAAAAUCCGAGGGAGGCAAUUUGAAUUUCGUGCCAGAUCGUACCGAUAUCCGCAGCAGGUCUCCAAGGUGAACAGCCUCUAGUCGAUAGAAUAAUGUAGGUAAGGGAAGUCGGCAAAUUAGAUCCGUAACUUCGGGAAAAGGAUUGGCUCUAAGGACUGGGCCGGUCGGGCUGCAGCGUGAAGUGAGUGCGGUUUGAUCCGUGCAGUGCUAACGCAUAUUGGUUGCACUAAAUUUCUUGGAUCUCUGAAAAUUUCCCGAAUGGUGCGUGUAUGCGUAUUCUAUUAUUUGCUAACCACAAAUGGUAGGUAUGUGUGCGCGUGUUGUUUAGGUGCAAAUUUUUCUUGAGUGAAAAGAGAUGUGUCUAAUAAGUGUUUGGCUCGGCUAGUGUUUGAACUGUCUUAUGGACCGCUGCAGCUGUGCAUCGGUACCUUAAUGGUGUCGGUGCUUCGUCCGGCGCUAAACAGUCAGCUUAGAACUGGCACGGACUCGGGGAAUCCGACUGUCUAAUUAAAACAGAGGAGACAGAUGGUCCUCGCGGGCGUUGACUGUCUCUGAUUUCUGCCCAGUGCUCUGAAUGUAAAAGUGAAGAAAUUCAACCAAGCGCGGGUAAACGGCGGGAGUAACUAUGACUCUCUUAAGGUAGCCAAAUGCCUCGUCGGAUAACUACCGACGCGCAUGAAUGGAUUAUCGAGAUUCCCACUGUCCCUAUCUACUAUCUAGCGAAAUCACAGCCAAGGGAACGGGCUUGGUAAACACAGCGGGGAAAGAAGACCCUGUUGAGCUUGACUCUAGUCCGACUCUGUGAAGAGUCAUGAGAGGUGUAGCAUAAGUGGGAGGCUUUUUUUGUGAAAGCCACCAGUGAAAUACCACUACUUUCAUCGAUUCUUUACUUAUUCGGUAAGACGGGAAUUGAACCAAGACGGUUCUUGAUUCUGGUAUAAAGUGCAGCCGCUUGGUGGUCGCACGACUCGCGCCGAAGACAGUGUCAGGCGGGGAGUUUGACUGGGGCGGUACAUCUGUCAAAAGGUAACGCAGGUGUCCUAAGGCUAGCUCAGAGAGGACGGAAACCUCUCGUAGAGUAAAAGGGCAAAAGCUCGCUUGAUCUUGAUUUCCAGUACGAAUACAGACCGCGAAAGCGUGGCCUAUCGAUCCUUUUGAAUUAGAAGGUCUCUAGCAAGAGGUGUCAGAAAAGUUACCACAGGGAUAACUGGCUUGUGGCAGCCAAGCGUCCAUAGCGACGUUGCUUUUUGAUCCUUCGAUGUCGGCUCUUCCUAUCAUUGCGAAGCAGAAUUCGCCAAGCGUUGGAUUGUUCACCCACCAAUAGGG